RNAcentral lists this ribosomal RNA (460 nucleotides) under uncultured bacterium. RNAcentral's name for it is "SSU rRNA". It matches the Rfam family "Bacterial small subunit ribosomal RNA", at positions 26 to 518 of the family's 1533-position model. The record is from RNAcentral.
AGAAUCAACGCUGGCGGCGUGCCUAACACAUGCAAGUCGCACGAGAAAGGGUAGCAAUACCUGAGUACAGUGGCGCACGGGUGAGUAACACGUGAAUAAUCUACCUCCGAGUGGGGAAUAACUGAGAGAAAUCUUAGCUAAUACCGCAUAACACUUACGAGUCAAAGCAGCAAUGCGCUUGGAGAGGAGUUCGCGGCAGAUUAGUUAGUUGGCGGGGUAAUGGCCCACCAAGACGAUGAUCUGUAUCCGGCCUGAGAGGGCGCACGGACACACUGGAACUGAAACACGGUCCAGACUCCUACGGGAGGCAGCAGUGGGGAAUUUUGCGCAAUGGGGGAAACCCUGACGCAGCAACGCCGCGUGGAGGAUGAAAUCCCUUGGGAUGUAAACUCCUUUCGAUAGGGAAGAUAAUGACGGUACCUAUAGAAGAAGCCCCGGCUAACUUCGCGCCAGCAGCCGC